This 245-nucleotide long non-coding RNA is filed under the name Lathyrus oleraceus (garden pea). RNAcentral's name for it is "Pisum sativum (pea) long non-coding RNA (PSAT_LNC017209)". The record is from RNAcentral. Lineage: Eukaryota; Viridiplantae; Streptophyta; Magnoliopsida; Fabales; Fabaceae.
UUGCUCUCAGAGUCAACAUCUAAUUUUUCGGCCUCAUCCAUAAUACUCUGCAAGUUAUCCCAAGAGCACUUUAGGAAGUCAUUAUUUUCAUUUCCUGAGGGAUUUUCAAUGGUAUCUGUGUAAUUAUCCAAUAAAGGCGAUGCAUAAACAAACUCUUUGUCUUGAUAACUACCCUCAGAUUCCUCGACUUCUUCUAAAACAUUAAAUUUAUUGUGUGUGUGAGUGAUGUCAACAUAGUAAUCAAC